GUAGGUGAACCUGCGGAAGGAUCAUUACCUUUUAGUACAGAAGCGUUGUGUGGGUUGAGUUGCGCUUGGGGAGUUGGCUACCUUUAGCUGGCUCCUUGAGUGGCAACUCCCCUCAUAAUACUCCCUGUAUAUCACCCUUGUCUUUGGCGCACCAUUGUUUCCUUGGCGGGCAUGCCCGCCAAUAGGACAAUCUUAUAACCUUUUUUAAUUUUCAAUCAGCGUCUGAAAUAAUUUUAAUAAUUACAACUUUCAACAACGGAUCUCUUGGUUCUG
RNAcentral lists this unclassified non-coding RNA (273 nucleotides) under rhizosphere metagenome. Its description in RNAcentral is "partial ribosomal RNA internal transcribed spacer region". The record is from RNAcentral.